CCUACGGGAGGCAGCAGUGGGGAAUAUUGCACAAUGGCGGAAACCCUGAUGCAGCGACGCCGCGUGAGUGAAGAAGUAUUUCGGUAUGUAAAGCUCUAUCAGCAGGGAAGAAAAUGACGGUACCUGAUUAAGAAGCCCCGGCUAACUACGUGCCAGCAGCCGCGGUAACACGUAGGGGGCAACCGUGAUCCGGAGUUACUGGGUGUAAAGGGAGCGUAGACGGCAGCACAAGGCUGGAGUGAAAUGCAGGGGCUUAACCCCGGAACUGCUUUGGAAACUGUGGAGCUCGAGUGCAGGAGAGGUAAGUGGAAUGCGUAGUGUAGCGGUGAAAUGCGUAGAUAUUAGGAGGAACACCAGUGGCGAAGGCGGCUUACUGGACUGUAACUGACGUUGAGGCUCGAAAGCGUGGGGAGCAAACAGGAUUAGAUACCCCAGUAGUC
Molecule: ribosomal RNA, 440 nt
Filed under: uncultured bacterium
Lineage: Bacteria
Description: partial 16S ribosomal RNA
Rfam family: Bacterial small subunit ribosomal RNA
Source: RNAcentral